This 403-nucleotide ribosomal RNA is filed under the name uncultured bacterium. RNAcentral describes it as "partial 16S ribosomal RNA". It matches the Rfam family "Bacterial small subunit ribosomal RNA", at positions 30 to 526 of the family's 1533-position model. The record is from RNAcentral.
AUUGAACGCUAGCGGCAGGCCUAACACAUGCAAGUCGAGCGAGCGGCGGCCGGGUGAUUUAUGUGUGGGGACUGCCCGCUGGGGGGGGAUACCUACUGGAGACGGUAGCUCAUACCGCAUACUAUCGGAUGACCCAUAUGGGAUUAGCUAGUAGGUGAGGUAAUGGCUCACCUAGGCGACGGUCCCUAGCUGGUCUGAGAGGAGGAGCAGCAACACGGGGACUGAGACACGGCCAAGACUCCUACGGAGGCAGAAGUGGGGAAUAUUGGACAAUGGGGGAAAGCCUGAUGCAGCCAUGCCGCGUGUAUGAUGAAGGCCCUAGGGUUGUAAAGUACUGUUGGUAGGGAGGCGUUACCGACAGAAGAAGCACCGGCUAACUACGUGCCAGCAGCCGCGGUAAUAC